UGCAUUUGCUGAAUUUGACAC
This 21-nucleotide non-coding RNA is filed under the name Caenorhabditis elegans. The record is from RNAcentral. Lineage: Eukaryota; Metazoa; Nematoda; Chromadorea; Rhabditida; Rhabditidae.